UUCCUACGGGUGGCUGCAGUGGGGAAUAUUGCACAAUGGGCGAAAGCCUGAUGCAGCAACGCCGCGUGAGCGAUGAAGGCCUUUGGGUCGUAAAGCUCUGUCCUUGGGGAAGAAACAAAUGACGGUACCCAAGGAGGAAGCCCCGGCUAACUACGUGCCAGCAGCCGCGGUAAUACGUAGGGGGCAAGCGUUAUCCGGAAUUAUUGGGCGUAAAGAGUACGUAGGUGGUCUUUUAAGCGCAGGGUUUAAGGCAAUGGCUUAACCAUUGUUCGCCCUGUGAACUGGAAGACUUGAGUGUAGGAGAGGAAAGUGGAAUUCCUAGUGUAGCGGUGAAAUGCGUAGAUAUUAGGAGGAACAUCAGUGGCGAAGGCGACUUUCUGGACUAUUACUGACACUGAGGUACGAAAGCGUGGGGAGCAAACAGGAUUAGAUACCCUGGUAGUC
Molecule: ribosomal RNA, 444 nt
Filed under: uncultured Anaerovoracaceae bacterium
Lineage: Bacteria; Bacillati; Bacillota; Clostridia; Peptostreptococcales; Anaerovoracaceae
Description: bacterial SSU rRNA
Rfam family: Bacterial small subunit ribosomal RNA
Source: RNAcentral